Molecule: ribosomal RNA, 307 nt
Filed under: uncultured eukaryote
Lineage: Eukaryota
Description: partial 18S ribosomal RNA
Rfam family: Eukaryotic small subunit ribosomal RNA
Source: RNAcentral
CCCUUAGACGUUCUGGGCCGCCCGCGCGCUACACUGACGAAGGCAACGAGCUUUCCUUUACCGAAAGGUACGGGUAAUCUUUUGAAACUUCGUCGUGCUGGGGAUAGAUCCUUGCAAUUUUUGAUCUUAAACGAGGAAUGCCUAGUAAGCGCAAGUCAUCAACUUGCGUUGAUUACGUCCCUGCCCUUUGUACACACCGCCCGUCGCUACUACCGAUUGAAUGGUUUAGUGAGGCCUUCGGAUCCGCGACUCGUUUGUGGAGAAGUUGGACAAACUCAGUCAUUUAGAGGAAGUAAAAGUCGUAACA